GCCCGCUAUCGGAGUCGAACCGAUGACCAUCGCAUUACAAGUGCGGUGCUCU
Molecule: transfer RNA, 52 nt
Filed under: Dicranodontium denudatum
Lineage: Eukaryota; Viridiplantae; Streptophyta; Bryopsida; Dicranales; Leucobryaceae
Also listed under: 1 other name
Description: partial tRNA-Thr
Source: RNAcentral